RNAcentral lists this unclassified non-coding RNA (378 nucleotides) under uncultured Mycobacteriaceae bacterium. RNAcentral's name for it is "contains 16S-23S intergenic spacer region". Lineage: Bacteria; Bacillati; Actinomycetota; Actinomycetes; Mycobacteriales; Mycobacteriaceae. The record is from RNAcentral.
UCCGAGUUGACCCCGGCAGUCUCUCACGAGUCCCCACCAUUACGUGCUGGCAACAUGAGACAAGGGUUGCGCUCGUUGCGGGACUUAACCCAACAUCUCACGACACGAGCUGACGACAGCCAUGCACCACCUGCACACAGGCCACAAGGGAACCGAUAUCUCUACCGGCGUCCUGUGCAUGUCAAACCCAGGUAAGGUUCUUCGCGUUGCAUCGAAUUAAUCCACAUGCUCCGCCGCUUGUGCGGGCCCCCGUCAAUUUCUUUGAGUUUUAGCCUUGCGGCCGUACUCCCCAGGCGGGGUACUUAAUGCGUUAGCUACGGCACGGAACCCGUCGAUAGAGUCCCACACCUAGUGCCCAACGUUUACGGCGUGGACUAC